This is a long non-coding RNA of Apis florea (little honeybee), 565 nucleotides long. Lineage: Eukaryota; Metazoa; Arthropoda; Insecta; Hymenoptera; Apidae. The record is from RefSeq and is a predicted model, not a curated record.
UAAAUAUUGUUAAAAAAUUUGUGCCAUUUUAUGGAACAUAUUUCAUCAUUGAUGAAGCAUUAAUAAAUUUUAAUAAACAUUUUCUAUCGUAUUAAAUUUUUUAUAUAAUAACUCAUCACAAUAAUCAUGAAAAUAGAUUUUUGUCAAACUAAAUUGAUGAUCCAUCAUAUUCUAAUAGCCAUUAUAUGAACGAGAAAUCAAUAAAAGUUCGUGAUUUACAGGAAUUUCCUAGAAAAAAAAAAAUAACAAAUGCAUCAGUAUUGUUCGAUAAGAAGGAGGACGCUUCCUGAUCGCACAGUCAGCUGCAAAUCUACGUUCAUAUAUGACUGUUUGGACAAACGGCAUUAAUUCUUGUUUUAUCACGGCCGAUAGGAAACUCUGUUUUCCCUGUUAUUUAUACGGUUGCUCGGAAACGUUCGACCGUUUAUCGGCUCACUGAGAAUGAUCGUGCACCGCAAUUCCUCUUCAAAGUUUAAGUGGAUCCUCGUCAAGGAAUAGUUAAAUUCCGAAGAGCCAGCUUUGCGUUAUCAGAAUGAUCGAGUUGAUCGUGCACACUUGUACUUCA